Molecule: ribosomal RNA, 253 nt
Filed under: uncultured bacterium
Lineage: Bacteria
Description: partial 16S ribosomal RNA
Rfam family: Bacterial small subunit ribosomal RNA
Source: RNAcentral
UACGGGGGGAGCAAACGUUGUUCGGAAUCACUGGGCGUAAAGGGCGUGUAGGCGGCUGGAUAAGUGGGAUGUUAAAUCCCCCGGCUCAACCGGGGACCUGCAUCUCAUACUGUUCAGCUCGAGCACAUCAGAGGAGACUGGAAUUCCCGGUGUAGCGGUGAAAUGCGUAGAGAUCAGGAGGAACACCCAUGGCGAAGGCAGCUCUCUGGUCGACCUCUGACGCUGAGACGCGAAAGCGUGGGGAGCGAACGGG